This 442-nucleotide ribosomal RNA is filed under the name uncultured bacterium. RNAcentral describes it as "partial 16S ribosomal RNA". It matches the Rfam family "Bacterial small subunit ribosomal RNA", at positions 338 to 795 of the family's 1533-position model. The record is from RNAcentral.
CCUACGGGGGGCAGCAGUAGGGAAUCUUUCACAAUGGGCGAAAGCCUGAUGGAGCAACGCCGCGUGCAGGAUGAAGGCCUUCGGGUUGUAAACUUCUUUUAUAAGCGAGAAAUAUGAUGGUAACUUAUGAAUAAGGCUCGGCUAACUACGUGCCAGCAGCCGCGGUCAUACGUAGGAUCCGAGCAUUAUCCGGAGUGACUGGGUGUAAAGAGUUGCGUAGGUGGCAUAAUAAGUAGCUAGUGAAAUCUGGUGGCUCAACCAUUCAGUCUAUUAGCUAAACUGUUAAGCUCGAGACCGUUAGGGGUAACUGGAAUUUCUAGUGUAGGAGUGAAAUCCGUAGAUAUUAGAAGGAACACCAAUAGCGUAGGCAGGUUGCUGGGACGGUUCUGACACUAAGGCACGAAAGCGUAGGGAGCAAACGGGAUUAGAUACCCUAGUAGUC